CAAAAACAUUUCCUUUUGAUGUUAUAUUUUAGGUAAGGCCUGCUCAAUGAUUUAAUUAAAUAGCCGCGAUAUUUUAUCGUGCAAAGGUAGCAUAAUAAUUUGUCUCUUAAUUGGAGUCUAGGAUGAAUGGUUUAACGAAAAAUAAACUUUUUUAAUUAAAAUUUUUUUAAUUUAAUUUUUUAGUUAAAAAGCUAAAAUAAAAUUAUGGGACGAUAAGACCCUAUAAAAUUUUAUUUUUAUAUAUUUGUAUAAUUUUUGGUGUUUACUUUUAUUUAGAUUUUAUAAUAAAUUUAGUUGGGGCGACUGUUUAAUUUUAUUAACUUAAAUUUUUGUAUUUUCAUUAAUUAAUGAUUUUUUGAUCCUAAUUUUUAGAUUAUAAGAAUAAAUUACUUUAGGGAUAACAGCGUAAUUUUUCUGGGGAGUUCUUAUUUAUAGAAAAGUUUGCGACCUCGAUGUUGGAUUAAAGUUUAAUUUUGGUGUAGCAGCUAAAAAUAUUAAGUCUGUUCGACUUUUAAAACUUUACAUGAUCUGA
RNAcentral lists this ribosomal RNA (532 nucleotides) under Lasiacantha sp. 21 STC-2019. RNAcentral describes it as "partial large subunit ribosomal RNA". The stretch from base 397 to 532 matches the Rfam family "Bacterial large subunit ribosomal RNA", at positions 2473 to 2608 of the family's 2925-position model. The record is from RNAcentral. Lineage: Eukaryota; Metazoa; Arthropoda; Insecta; Hemiptera; Tingidae.